UUGUUUAUUUUUGUCAAGAAGGGUGUGCUGCAGAAACGAAAAAGGCUGCCUAUUUUUGCCUAUAAAAUGAGAGAUUCGGCUCUCAUUUUGAUACACCAACAAAAGAGAGAAAAAGAGUAAGGUUUCACAGACAGGGUAUAAGGGUGUUAUUUUGUUUGUUUAUUUUUGUCAAGAAGGGUGUGCUGCAGAAACGAAAAAGGCUGCCUAUUUUUGCCUAUGAAAUGAUAGCUUUGGCUCUCAUUUUGAUACACCAACAAAAAGAGAGAAAAAGAGUAAGGUUUCACAGACAGUGUAUAAGAAAUAGUCUGUGAGAAAAGUAGAGAGUGAGCGAUAUUGUAGUGAGGUGGAAAUAUCAAAAGAGGGUUAUUUUCUUUUGAGUGUUGUAGUGGUCUUUGGAGUAUUUUACUCG
This 409-nucleotide long non-coding RNA is filed under the name Nicotiana benthamiana. RNAcentral's name for it is "long non-coding RNA (NBEN_LNC023889)". Lineage: Eukaryota; Viridiplantae; Streptophyta; Magnoliopsida; Solanales; Solanaceae. The record is from RNAcentral.